RNAcentral lists this long non-coding RNA (313 nucleotides) under Struthio camelus australis. Its description in RNAcentral is "lncRNA (ENSSCUG00000018010.1)". The record is from RNAcentral. Lineage: Eukaryota; Metazoa; Chordata; Aves; Struthioniformes; Struthionidae.
UUAGUGGCAGCAGUGACCUGACUGUGCCACAGUCCAACAACACUGAGAUAAUGACAGUUAAACUAGAAACAGCAGAGUAACCGAGGAGCUGCACUUCAGAGUAGGACUUGGAUUAGGGGAUACUGGUACAAGAAAGGUAGUUCUUCAUUCAGCUGAGUCUGCCUACUGCUGUGAGUGACAUUGCAGAUUCUCCUUAAUACUGCCUUCAGGAUCACUGACACUUCUCCACGGCUUCUUCCUUUCCACCUUAUCCUUUGGCUUCUUGCCAUCUCAGGAGGAGUAAAUAUUCUGGGUCCUGUUUCUUCAUCCUAUU